AAAUUCGUCAAAACUGUCUGUGUAGAUCAGCUUUUAAAUUAAAUUAAAAAUUAUAUUUAAUAAUGAUAAGUCGUGAUGAUGUUUGAAACAUCAUCAUGAUGGUUUUGUUUUGUAGAAAAAAAAAAGAAAGAAAACGGUGGAAAGAAAGAGUUGGACAAAGAAAGGAAAGAAUCCAAGGCAAAAGAGGAGUAGAUGCGGGGAGGACUGGAAAACAGAGAAAGCAAACGGGACAGCCAAGAGAAGUGGGGAUGGCAAAAUAAAAGAAUAAUAAAAUAAAGAAAAAGGACUGUCAGAUGGAAGGAGGGAAGAGGAUUGGGAGCUGCCUUUGACAGCUAAGAGGUCAGCCGCUGGGUCCAGCUCUCGCCACUUGCGACGAGCCCCAUGAUUCUUUUCUUGGAUCCAGAGGAUGUGAAAAGUAAAGGGAGAGGAGAGAGCUGAGCAGGGGGGCAGCGUGAGACAAGGAGGAAAAUAAAAUAAGAGCUGCGGGGAGGAAAAACGGGGAGAGUCCGGAGGAAAGCUGCCAUUUGGCAGCUUGAGCAGGGGGAGAGCAGAAACCUGCUUUUGGGCUGGCGUGAUUAAGGGGGUCGGGGGAGCGGAAGAAAGGGGCUGCCCUUUGGGCAGCUCGCAGGAACGUGCAGGGCGUGACAGGAAAGGUGAGGCAAGCAAGGGAGAUAGGCAGAGAGAAGGGGAGAGGCGCAGGGAGAGGGAAGUCAGGGAGUGAAGAAAGCUGCAAGCUGUUCUCUCUCUCGGUUUAAACUUUUCAAACUUCUAUUUUAUUUCUGUUUAAUAAUGUGUAAUUAAUUUUAUUUUGGCUAGAGGUUUAAUUCGAAACCAUGAAUAUAUUUGUAAUAUGAAUUGAUUACCUUCGGUUGUGAUUUCAUAAGUUGUGUUUUUUCAAUUUACUUAUCCGUUCGUAUAAAAACUGAUUUGUGUAUGUUGGUUGAGAGUGCACGCUUAAUUUACAUGCAUGAAUUUGAUGCUAGAAUAUAAGUGAAUUUCACCUAAUCGUUAUGAACUUAUUUUCACAAGUAGUAAAGGUUGCUAGUCACAAUCACGUUAAGUAAAUUCUUGGCAAGAGUAUCAUGCUUUUCAUAGUUACGAAUGUCUCGUCAAUGCUUAUAGUUUUCACAAAGUUUAAUGAUCUUUGAUUGUAUCGCUAUUGUGCUUUUUCACGUAGGGGACUUUUGAAGAAUGUUUUGAAUUGUUGUAUGCGUUUUUCCGUCCAAUUCAAUAACUUAAGGAAAACUUGAAGAUUAAAAAAGUGCUGUUCACGGUUAAUCUGGAGUAUUGAGAUUCACAAUUUAUUGAAAGAACAACUGAAAAUCAAUUUAGGUUGCAUAUGUGUCAUGUGUGGAGAAGAACCCUCUAGCUAGUCCGUCAUUUAUCUUUUCAUUUUAAUUUCAUGUUUUUGUAAAUUCUGUAAUUUAUUUAAGUUUAAUUUACUUUUCAUCAAAAUCAAACCCUCCCAUUAUUAAAUUAUAUUAUUUAGUUAGUUUUCUUUAUUGUUAGUCUUUUAAUUUAAUUUCCGUCCAUUUCAGUCCUAGUGUUUAAUUUGAUUGUUUUCAUUAUUUUGAAUCAUUUUAAGUGUGUUUCGAGUUAUUAGAGUUUUUAGCCUAGUUUUGUGUCCUUGAGUCUUAUUUAAUAUUUUUAAAUUAAUUUAGAAUAGAUUAGCAAUCCCUCCUAAUCCCCGGCCUAGAACGAUACCCUACUUACAUCUAUACUACAAUUGUCAAAAAGAGGGUUUAAUUUGUGUGUCAAGUAAUUCUCGCAUCAAAUUUUGGCGCCGUUGCCGGGGAUUAGCAACUUUGCUAAUCCUUUUAUUUUUGUUUUUGUUUAUGUUUAUAUUGGUGUUUGUGUAUUUUACUUUUGAUAUUUGAUUUAUUUUUCUUUCUUUGAUUUUAGGUUCAAAUGGAGCCGAGGGAAAUUUAAAGGAAAGAUGCGUCCGGCUAAAGACGUUAAAUCAAGCGCUUCUUGGGAGGCAACCCAAGUAUUCAACGAAAGGGAGACUUUGGAAUCGCUAACCCAAUCAGCUUUGCAUUCUUCCACCCUUAUCUUUACUGCUUUCAUUUUGUUUUGUUUAGUUAGUUGUGUUAUUUGGUUGAUUUCUGUCAGUUUAUAUUAUUUAGUUUAAGUAUGGGGGAAGGUUAACCAAAGUCUCUUUACAUUAAUUUACAUUUAAAAAAAAAAAAAAAAAAAAAAAAGUACAAAUAUUUUACAAUAAUGUAAACUAAUAGUAUUCAUUGGUCGGGUGGUGCUUCAGUAGUAGGCGGGGCUUCAGCAGUCGGCGGGGCCACAGAAGGAGGAGGCGGCAGAGGUUGAUCAGUUGGAGCUUCACUACGCGGUGCCGCCCCAGAAGACGAAGGCAGAUGCGGUUGGAACAAACCCACAAACCUCCGAUGAUCAAGUAAAAUUUGACCAUCGGUGUCCUGCAUCUGGUCAAUCUUCCUCUUCAUGCUGGUGGCAUAGCUGUGUGCGAGCUUGUGCAAUUCCUUAUUCUCAUGCUUGAGCCCUUUAAUCUCUUGCUUGAGACUCUGUAUUUCAGCCACCAAGGAUUCAACGUGACGGGUUCGGGCAUAUAGGCGUUGGGCCAUGUUGGACACGGAACCGGCACACUGCACGCUAAGAGCCAGAGACUCCUUAACCGCCAAUUCAUCAGACCGUCUAGCGAGCAGUCUGUUAUCUCUGGGGGUGACAAGGUUUCGGGCCACCACCGCAGCGGUCAUGUCAUUUUUCAUCAUCGAAUCCCCCACGGUAAGGGGACCGGUAGGGGAUAUGAAGGAUGGCCGCCAUAUGUUGUCUGGUGAAGGCGGAGCUGCCUCUUCACCAAUGUUCAAGUCAAAACGACGAUCAGAAGGGCCAGACAUUUUUCAGAGGUGGUAAAGAAUGAAGAGAGUUGGACUGAUCAAGAUUAAACAAGUGCAAGAAGGGAGUGUUUACAGGAGGGAGCUCAAGUGUGUGUUGUGGAACAAGCUUAACGUCUCUAUAAAAAGGAAGAAAUCAAAGAGGCGCUCCUCAGAGAAGCGUCCUCUCGCAAAUCGAAGAGUCGGGGCUCCGUUCUCAAACGUCUGAUUCUUUUCUCAAAAGAGGAGUUUCCUUUCUCAAAAGCCGGAUUCUUUUCUCAAAAGAGGCGUUUCAUUUCUUAAAGGCUGGGCUUGCUCAGAAACCACGAGCCGAACCCCGGAUUUCAAAAGAUCAAUUUGUCCAGAUGUGUCGUCACUUGUCACACGCAAAUUGCUUUGCGGAAAUCUCGGGCAAUUUGUCGAAGCACCAAUUCAGAAAUCGAAGAGGGAAAUUCAACAGUCAAAGACACGCUAGCUUUCUCAAAAGCUGGGCUUCAACCCACGGGAAAAUCUUCUUUUCCAGAUUUAUCCGCACGUGUCACAUGCUACCUCUACAAUCGACGAUGCUCAGAGCUCGAAGCGCCGAUUACAGAUAUCAAUGAGGAAUCAGCUUUGCGGAAAUUACGGGCAGCUUUGUCAGAAAGCGCGUAAUUUGUAUUCUUCACCCAUCCACCGGCUGCCGACACUAAGUGAGAGAACAGUUCCGGUUGUGAAGACAAGUCCUAUAAGUUUCUACCUUCGCCUUCCACAGCAAAAGCACACUCUCUCAGCACACCCUCUCAACACCUCUUCAUCUCCGAAAAUGCAUUCCCAAAGAAUCCUCUCGAGUCACUCUGUGUUCCUCAUUCCUUGGGAUACUCCUGCGAACAACCCAUUCAAAGCAAAAGUAUUUCAUAUCAUAAAGGUUGAAAGCAAGAGUAUCUCAUAUCAUUGCUUUCUCCAUGUCCUUCUCCUUGUCUUUGUUUUCCGACAAGGAGAAAGAGAGCAAUCAGCCAGCAUUUGGUAUCAAUCUUCCAAUCUGGAGCCAACUGCCUGGAACCCUUUCCUGAUUGCUUACCUAGCCUUGCUCUCGAGUACUCAUCUUCAUCAUUUUAUGCUUUCUCUUCGUCUACCACAUCUGCCUGGGGGACAGUAAGGGAAGUGAAAAUGAUACCUCGAAGCAUGUGGAGACAAUUCAGCUAGGGACAAGGAGAAAGAAAGCAAGAGGUGGGCACUUGGAAAGAUUGAAGAAAGAAAUAAGGACCAACACCUUUCCCUCGUGCCUGCCCGUUGUGCAGAAGAAACAAGCAGAGAAGAAUGCAGCUUGCACAAUCAUCCCAGCGGAAGGAGUCCGAACUGAGGAACUAGAGAAGCUGCCACAUCUGCUUGGAGAACAAAUAAGGAACUGCAACAUCACCAAAGAGCAAAGCUUCGCCGUACAAUAUCAUCAAAUCAUCACUUGCAAGUAAAAAGCUAAGUGUCACCCUGUUCAAGAGGAAAGCUGUGGAAAGUCAACAAGCACGACCAAUGAUUACUUAUUAAUUUUAUUCAUUAUCUUUUAUCGUAAUUUUCAAUUUUUCGUUUGCAAUUUUUUUUUUAAUUAAUUUUCUUGCGUACUUAACUGAAUUUUUCCUUUUCUUUGCAGGAACUUUUGGUUAUUUCCACCCUUGAAGUUGAUUGCAGAAUUUUAGCUUGAGGGUCAUCGCUUGAUUUUACUGCAAAUUAGGGAAGUUUUCAGUCCCAUUGUUUUAUUUUGUUUCUUAUUAUUUAUUUAUUUAUUUUAUUUUUAUUUGCGUUAUAGUGUUUUCUGACAUUGGGGACAAUGUCAAGUUUAAGUGUGGGGGUAGAAAUCUCUAGAAUUUCAUUUGUUUCUGUGUUGUUGCUUUUUAUUUUUUUUUUAGUUUUGUUUUCUCUAUAAAAAAAAAAAUCGGAAAAUUUAAAAAAUCCAAAAAUAUUGUCUUGUUUCCCUUAUUGUUUUGAAUUAGAUUUUUUGUUAGUUUCCCGACCCAAUGAUAUAAUUAGAUCAAAUUUGAAUCAUGAUUAUCAAGAACUUAGUUAUCAUGUGUUUUGUGAAAUUCCUAAUUCUCUUGUUAGUUUUGUACAUGUUUGAUCAUCUUUGAAAAACCAAAUGCACAUAGCCUUGUUAAUGUGAAACUAAAGUAUGACUUAAAGCUUCAUAUGUGAAUUUAGUGACCAUAUACAUCCUAUGUGAGUUUUUGAGCCUAUUGAAAGUGUGUGCAUUUUUCAUACACUCCUAUUCUUUCAUGUGUGAUGAACUUAUGUGAGAUACAUCUCUAGAACUUGCGUAACGAUCUUUCGAAAUGUUUGUCAUUGAUUGCAUGAACUUGGAAAUGAUGGAGGCAUUAAGUUUACCACCAUGGCCCAAAUAACCAUGUUUCCCAAAGAAAAAUGAUAUCAUUAGAUUGCCAAUUUGAGCCGUAUUUGUUGAACCUUUUGUUUCUUAUCACCAGAUAUGUCUACCCUUAUACCUGAAACAUUUUUCCUUACCAUUUCCAAGCGAGCAAUGCGAGAUUGUCUUAUGAGAAACGUUUGUGAAAUACUGUGAAGAUGUUUGGCAAAAGAAUAAGUGUGGGGGUAUUUCAUGUUUGUGAAUUAAAAAAAAAAAAAAAUAAAUAAAAAAAAAUAAAAAAUAAAAUAAAAAAAAGAAAAAAAAAAAAGAAAAAUUGUACACAAAGAAAAUAAAAAGUUAUUCAAGUUUCAGUUUAAGAGUAUGGUUGGAGGUGCUAGAAGAAUUGCUGGAGAGCUUGAGUUCUUAUAAAUCUAAAGAAAAGAAUUGCUUGCAAUGUAGCUUGGAACUUGUGUUUUCCUAUUCUUUCAUUUCAAUAACCCUCUCCUUAAACCUCAUUACGUCCAAUAAAAGUCCUCUUGAUUUAAGUUUUGCAAUUAUGAUUGUGGAGAUGAGAUCUUUAUGCAAGCUUAUGGUAGAAAUUUCACAUUUGAUUCUUUGAGCGAAACACAUUAAAACUAAACACAUGUGUGAUUGAGUGCAUAUCCCGUGAGAAGGUCGCUAGUUUGCAUAUGAUGAUUUUAAAAAUAAAAACUUGAAAUUGCAUUAGCAUGGCUAUCUCACACACUACACCUCAAGGAUGAUUCAAAGAUUACUGCUAAUAUUUGAAUAAGGAAGAUGAAUGUGGAUUAGUUCCUUGAUGCUAGCUAUGGUUCUUGAUGAUUUGUUUUCUCGAAUGAAAUUCUAUGAGGGUCACAUAGGGGGAAGCUAAUGUUUUUCUUGUUACUUCUUGUUCUAGUUUUCUUUGUUUUGCUCGAGGACUAGCAAAAGUUAAGUGUGGGGGUAUUUGAUCGGAUGAUAUUUAUAUAUAUUUUUACUUUGAAUUCACUCGUCUUUUCUUAGUUAGUUCCUUAUAUUUUUGAGCUAUUUACGUUAUUUUUGUGUUUAUAGGAUUUGUUAUGCAAAGAAAAUAAAAAUAGAACAAGUGAAAUUUUAUGUAAUAAAUUCGUCAAAACUGUCUGUGUAGAUCAGCUUUUAAAUUAAAUUAAAAAUUAUAUUUAAUAAUGAUAAGUCGUGAUGAUGUUUGAAACAUCAUCAUGAUGGUUUUGUUUUGUAGAAAAAAAAAAAAAAGAAAGAAAACGGUGGAAAGAAAGAGUUGGACAAAGAAAGGAAAGAAUCCAAGGCAAAAGAGGAGUAGAUGCGGGGAGGACUGGAAAACAGAGAAAGCAAACGGGACAGCCAAGAGAAGUGGGGAUGGCAAAAUAAAAGAAUAAUAAAAAUAAAGAAAAAGGACUGUCAGAUGGAAGGAGGGAAGAGGAUUGGGAGCUGCCUUUGACAGCUAAGAGGUCAGCCGCUGGGUCCAGCUCUCGCCACUUGCGACGAGCCCCAUGAUUCUUUUCUUGGAUCCAGAGGAUGUGAAAA
Molecule: long non-coding RNA, 6708 nt
Filed under: Malus domestica (apple)
Lineage: Eukaryota; Viridiplantae; Streptophyta; Magnoliopsida; Rosales; Rosaceae
Description: long non-coding RNA (MDOM_LNC002214)
Source: RNAcentral